Long non-coding RNA from Oryctolagus cuniculus (rabbit), 921 nucleotides. RefSeq lists it as uncharacterized. The record is from RefSeq and is a predicted model, not a curated record. NCBI's taxonomy places the organism in Eukaryota, Metazoa, Chordata, Mammalia, Lagomorpha, Leporidae.
GAGUGGAAAUCAGAGAAUUCCAAGUGAGCAGGGUUAGAACAGAGCUACGGAGCAUGCUGAUGACACUUCACAAUUUGAUUCUUUAUAAAACACUGUCCCUGUCUCAGUUUCACAGAUUCCAAGAGUUAAGAGUUAAGAGAGAGUAAGUUUGUUUCUUGGUGGGAGAGAUAUUGGCUUCAGUCCACAAGAAACACAUGCUAUUUCUUUCUUUUUUUUUUUUUUUUACUUAAUUGUAAGAUAUACUUACUUUAUUUGCAAGGUGGAGUGACAGGGAGAGGAGAAAGGGAGAGAGAGAUGCCAUCCAAUGGUUCACUCUUCAAAUGCUUACAAACAGCCUGGGGUAGCCCAGGCGAAAGCCAUGGAUCCAGGGAACUCCAUCCGGGUCUCCAACAUGGGAGGCAGGGACCCAAGUACUUCGAUCCUCAUCUACCACCUCUGUACAUUAGCAGAAAGCUGAAUUGGAUGCACAGAGGAGCCAGGACUCAAAUCAGGCACACCCACACCGGGAUGGAAUGUGGGAUCUCAACAACAGUUUAACUGCUGUGCCACAACACCCACCCCACACAACCGCCACUGGCACCUAAAGGUGAACAUUAAAUGAAUCAUCAUCUGCAAGAACUCAACAUGGUGCCUGUGCGUGCUAGGAAUUCCCAGGUGUUACAUCACCUACCUGGUUGCCUUCUCCCCCCUUCUCUUCUUCCCUCUUCCUGUUCUUCUAUUUGCUAGUCAUUGUCAAGGUAGAGUCAUGUCAGUGGCUCAGGCUCCCUUGAAUUGCUUCCAAAUGGCAGACUGAAAACAGACAACACAACUACAGCCACUGGAAAAAGGAGCAACAUCAGCAACCACCAGGAACAAGAGAAUAUUCGAUUCUUUAUCUUUAAAAUGUAAUUAUAUCAAUAAAAAGAGCAACAAUUUUUUCUU